Molecule: unclassified non-coding RNA, 345 nt
Filed under: soil metagenome
Description: partial contains 5.8S ribosomal RNA, internal transcribed spacer 2, and large subunit ribosomal RNA
Rfam family: 5.8S ribosomal RNA (bases 1-119)
Source: RNAcentral
GAUGAAGAACGUAGCGAAAUGCGAUACGUAAUGUGAAUUGCAAAUUCAGUGAAUCAUCGAGUCUUUGAACGCACAUUGCACCCCCUGGUAUUCCGGGGGGCAUGCCUGUCCGAGCGUCAUUGCUGCCCUCAAGCACGGCUUGUGUGUUGGGCCCCGUCCUCCGAUCCCGGGGGACGGGCCCGAAAGGCAGCGGCGGCACCGCGUCCGGUCCUCGAGCGUAUGGGGCUUUGUCACCCGCUCUGUAGGCCCGGCCGGCGCUUGCCGAUCAACCCAAAGUUUUAUCCAGGUUGACCUCGGAUCAGGUAGGGAUACCCGCUGAACUUAAGCAUAUCAAUAAGCGGAGGA